This 1075-nucleotide small RNA is filed under the name Vigna angularis var. angularis. Its description in RNAcentral is "Non-protein coding transcript". Lineage: Eukaryota; Viridiplantae; Streptophyta; Magnoliopsida; Fabales; Fabaceae. The record is from RNAcentral.
UUUCGAGACUACCAAGUUUUGUUAGCAUUUAUGCUACCAACACUCUCACUGUGACGUGCCCUUCAAAGAAUUAUUUUGCCUUCCUAAAUCUUGGAAAACUAGAAAUAAUUGAAUGUGCGAAAUUGGAAGUAGUCUUUCCAAAGUCUGUGCUAAGAUGCUUACCAAAGUUGAAUGUUCUUGUGAUAAGAGACUGCAAAGAAUUAAAGCAUAUCAUGGAAGAAGACGAGUCCAAUUUUCUUUCUAUAAAUGGAGGCUCUGAACUAGAGGAGUUUAUAGGAUGUGAUAAAGAAGCUUCAAAGAAUUAUUUUGCCUUAACAAAUCUUGAAAAACUAGAAAUAAUUGAAUGUGCAAUAUUGGAAAUAGUCUUUCCAAAGUCUGUUUUAAGAUGCUUACCAAAGUUGAAUGUUCUUGUUAUAAGAAACUGCAAAGAAUUAAAGCAUAUCGUGGAAGAAGACGAGUCCAAUCUUCUUUCUAUAGAUGGAGGCUCUGAACUAAAGGAGAUUAUUGGAUGUGAUAAAGAAGCUUCAAAGAAUUAUUUUACCUUCCCAAAUCUGGAAAAACUAGAAAUAAUUGAAUGUGCGAAAUUGGAAAUAGUCUUUCCAAAGUCUGUUUUAAGAUGCUUUCCAAAGUUGAAGCUUUUGAAGGUAAGAAAAUGCGAAGAAUUAAAACAAAUCAUUGAAGGAGAUAAAAAUUUGUCUAAUAUUCUUUCUCCUCAACCAUGCUUUCCAAAACUAGAAACAUUGCAUGUUGAUCAUUGUCACAAGUUGAAAAGAUUAUUCUCUGGAUCUGCUUCUAAUGACCUUCCGAAUCUUCUUCUUCUGGCCAUAAAUGGAGCCUAUGAACUAGAAGAGCUUGUUGGAUGUAAACAAGGAAAGAUUAAAGUUGAGCUCCCAAGGCUCAAACUUUUAAUAUUUCUGCAUCUUUCAAACUUCCGUCAAGAGAUUGAAUUGGAUAAUUUAAAGAAUUGCAUUGUCUACAAAUGUCCACAACUCUUUUUGACAUCAACAACUACUCUUGAGAAGCUCUCGGUAGAUUUUCCUUAUGAAGAUUUCAUAAACACUGAACUUGAUUUUUG